UACGUAGGGGGCGAGCGUUGUCCGGAUUCAUUGGGCGUAAAGAGCUCGUAGGCGGCCGGUUGCGUCUGCUGUGAAAUCCCGGGGCUUAACCCCGGGCGUGCAGUGGAUACGGGCUGGCUGGAGGCAGGCAGGGGAGAAUGGAAUUCCCGGUGUAGCGGUGAAAUGCGUAGAUAUCAGGAGGAAUACCUAUGGCGAAAGCAGGUAUCUGGGCCAUCACUGACGCUGAGCUGCGAAAGCUAGGGGAGCAAACAGG
Molecule: ribosomal RNA, 253 nt
Filed under: uncultured bacterium
Lineage: Bacteria
Description: partial 16S ribosomal RNA
Rfam family: Bacterial small subunit ribosomal RNA
Source: RNAcentral